CCUGAUGAAUUUAAGCAUAUUAGUCAGCUGAGGAAAAAACAUUAGCUAGGAUUCCCUAAGUAAUGGCAAAUGAACAUGAA
Molecule: non-coding RNA, 80 nt
Filed under: Tupaia belangeri chinensis (Chinese tree shrew)
Lineage: Eukaryota; Metazoa; Chordata; Mammalia; Scandentia; Tupaiidae
Source: Rfam by way of RNAcentral